CAAGAUUUAACAUAAUAUAAAUGUAUCUCACUUACAUUGAGAAAAUAAUUGAUUUAAUUAUUCUUGU
This 67-nucleotide transfer RNA is filed under the name Vampyroteuthis infernalis. RNAcentral describes it as "tRNA-Val". Lineage: Eukaryota; Metazoa; Mollusca; Cephalopoda; Vampyromorpha; Vampyroteuthidae. The record is from RNAcentral.